This 510-nucleotide ribosomal RNA is filed under the name uncultured Glomus. RNAcentral describes it as "SSU rRNA". It matches the Rfam family "Eukaryotic small subunit ribosomal RNA", at positions 569 to 1081 of the family's 1831-position model. Lineage: Eukaryota; Fungi; Glomeromycota; Glomeromycetes; Glomerales; Glomeraceae. The record is from RNAcentral.
CGCAGCCGCGGUAAUUCCAGCUCCAAUAGCGUAUAUUAAAGUUGUUGCAGUUAAAAAGCUCGUAGUUGAAUUUCGGGAUCGACGGGUCGGUCGCGCCUCUGGUGUGUACUGGCCCUGUCGGUUUCUCCCUUCUGACGAACCACGAUGUCAUUAAUUUGGUGUCGUGGGAAAUCAGGACUGUUACUUUGAAAAAAUUAGAGUGUUUAAAGCAGGCAUUCGCUUGAAUACAUUAGCAUGGAAUAAUGAAAUAGGACGUUUGAUCUUAUUUUGUUGGUUUCUAAGAUCGACGUAAUGAUUAAUAGGGAUAGUUGGGGGCAUUAGUAUUCAAUUGUCAGAGGUGAAAUUCUUGGAUUUAUUGAAGACUAACUACUGCGAAAGCAUUUGCCAAGGAUGUUUUCAUUAAUCAAGAACGAAAGUUAGGGGAUCGAAGACGAUCAGAUACCGUCGUAGUCUUAACCAUAAACUAUGCCGACUAGGGAUCGGAUGAUGUUAAUUUUUAAUGACUCAUUC